This 609-nucleotide long non-coding RNA is filed under the name Ananas comosus (pineapple). Its description in RNAcentral is "long non-coding RNA (ACOM_LNC036251)". The record is from RNAcentral. Lineage: Eukaryota; Viridiplantae; Streptophyta; Magnoliopsida; Poales; Bromeliaceae.
UUCCACCUAUUGGAUAAUUCUCUAUCUUAUUAAUUCCUCUACUAAUUAAGUUAUAAAUAAUUACAAAUUAUAAUUAAUUAAUACAAUUAAUUUUUUUAUAAUUAACUAAUUAUUUAUUUAACUUAUUAAAUUAAUAAAUAUUUAAAUAAUAAUUUAUUUAUAAUUUAUAAUUAAUUAUCUAAUUAAAUAAUUAGGUAUUUGAUAUGCUUAUUCAAUCAUUAACUAGUAUUUAUAUUACUUAAAUAAUUAAUACUUUAAUUUAUCUAAUUAAUAUAUUCACUAGAAUAUAAAUAAUAAAAAAUUAAUUAAUAUUAACAUAUUGACUUAUUUUUAUAAUUAUUUACUAAUUAACAUCAUCUUCAUUUUCUCAUAUAGUAAUUUUAAUUAAUUAAUUUAUUAACUCAUUAAAAUAUUAUUUUACUGAUACUAAGAUGCUUUACAUAAUUUUUUUUUAUAUGCAAUUAAUCAUAAUUACUUUUAUUCCUACUAUUCCAACCCAAUCACCCAAACGUAAUUUUUCUUAUUUCUCUAAAUUUCUUAAUUCUCAUCCAAAUACAAAAUUGAACUAAUUCCUAUAUAUCCCACGAGCGAUACCUACUAAAAGAAUAA